Molecule: long non-coding RNA, 1039 nt
Organism: Sceloporus undulatus (fence lizard)
Lineage: Eukaryota; Metazoa; Chordata; Lepidosauria; Squamata; Phrynosomatidae
Exons: 3
Source: RefSeq, a predicted model, not a curated record
UGAGAGGAAAGAAAGAAAGAUGUAUUCACAGAACAGCUAAUAGGCAGAACCCUAAGCCUACCAUGGUUUCUGGAUAAUGAGUUGUCAGCCGUGAUAGUAAUACUAGGUCUGAAGUGGAAUUAUUGAGCUGAUUGUGGGAAACCUCUUGUAUCUACAUUCUGCCAGAGUCCAAGUAACAAGCUGCAAACAAGGCAAAAGUCGAGCUGAACCCACGAAAAGGUGGAGAAUUUGCACCCUCAUUUCUCAUCUGGAGAUGACCCACAAAACUAGAGCAAUCUGGCAACCAUAACUACUGCUGAAUUGAGUAGAAGCAUGAACCCUAGAUGAGAUUCAACAGGUGGAUCCUGGGCAUAGAAACUGCCUUAGAAUCAAAGGAUUCUGAAUUCACCAGGAAUUUAUUAUGAAUAUUAGAAGUGAAUUGAGCUCACAGUCCUUCAGCAACAAUGACAACACUCCAGGUCACCACAACCUUUCAUUAUUUCAGUAGUGUAAUUUAAGGUGUAAUGAAUGGGUGGUGGUGGUGGUGGUUCCCUUUUCCCCAUUCAUGUGAGGACUUUUCCCAGACAACAAAGGGUUAAGCUGGGGGGGAGGCACAUGCUAAUGAUGUUGACAUCACAUUAAGGGUUACAUCAUAGCUGAUGAAAUGUCCAUCUGACCAAUCAGUUGAGUAAGACUGGGAAGUUCAAAAAACCUCCAAUCAGGGGUUUUAAAAGGCCACUGGAGAGCAUGCAUUCUUGAGUCCUCUUUUGUUCUAUCCUGAGGUUGGAUCCAGCUAGGCCAUGGAGGCCACCUCCCAGCAUCCAGUGAUAUCAAGGACUACAAAUCCCAUCUGAUUGUGAAUAGCUUAGAAAUACAUGUUAGCUAGUAUGACUAGGUUUAUGGAUUUAUUUUCUUGGGCUUGCCUGAAAUGACUGUCCUGUAAUUAUACAUUCUUUACCUGAAAGGUAAGGAGGCCUUGUAUGAAAUGAUAGCCUUUUGCUCUAUACAAUCUAGUUAGAAUAAAGCUUUCUUCAAAAGGACCUUGCCUCUUCUUAAUACU